Molecule: ribosomal RNA, 331 nt
Filed under: uncultured bacterium
Lineage: Bacteria
Description: bacterial SSU rRNA
Rfam family: Bacterial small subunit ribosomal RNA
Source: RNAcentral
AGAGUUUGAUCAUGGCUCAGGGCGAACGCUGGCGGCGUGCCUAAAACAUGCAAGUCGAGCGGGGGUUGGCCGCGGGGCAACCCGCGGUUUCAGCUCUAGCGGCGAACGGGUGAGUAACACGUGGGUAACCUGCCCCGAAGACGGGGAUAACCUCGGGAAACCGGGGCUAAUACCCGAUACCCUCACCGGAGGGCAUCCUCUGGUGAGGAAAGGUCCGCAAGGUCCGCUUCAGGAUGGGCCCGCGGCGUAUCAGCUCGUUGGUGAGGUAACGGCUCACCAAGGCGAUGACGCGUAGCUGGCCUGAGAGGGUGGUCAGCCACACUGGGACUGA